CGUCAUACUGACAUGUCGAGCUCCAGCUCCAUCCAGACAUCAGAACAACUUAUUUUGGUUUCAAUCGAUCACUGUUGGAUAACUUGUAUUAAACCAAAAAAAAAAACAUGGCGUCAAGUUGUCGAAAACCAGAGCAUAUUGCCCCGCUUAAAAAUGUUCUACAACGAAGAGGAGGCCAAGAAAUAUUUUCAAAAUUCUCGGGUGAUUGAGAUCCAGGGCCAGAUGUCCUAGAGGGCUGUGGAGCUGCUGAACCUGCCUGAGGACCAGCCCUGUAUCCUGCUAGAUGUGUGGUAGUGGUACCGGCCAGUGGACGUCUGAGGGCUCAUUAGGACCCGCCUGUAUCCUGCUAGAUGUGGGGUUCCUCUUGGUCUGUUGGUUUUCAGGAAGCCUACCCAAGGUGAGAAGCCUACCCAAGGUGAGAAGCCUACCCAAGGUGAGAAGCCUACCCAAGGUGAGAAGCCUACCCAAGGUGAGAAGCCUACCCAAGGUGAGAAGCCUACCCAGGGUGAGAAGCCUACCCAGGGUGAGAAGCCUACCCAGGGUGAGAAGCCUACCCAGGGUGAGAAGCCUACCCAGGGUGAGAAGCCUACCCAGGGUGAGAAGCCUACCCAGGGUGAGAAGCCUACCCAGGGUGAGAAGCCUACCCAAGGUGAGAAGCCUACCCAAGGUGAGAAGCCUACCCAAGGUGAGAAGCCUACCCAAGGUGGGAAGCCUACCCAAGGUGGGAAGCCUACCCAAGGUGAGAAGCCUACCCAAGGUGAGAAGCCUACCCAGGUGGGUUUUAUUUCGAUAGACUAUGCAGUCUUGAGUGCUGAACGCUGAUGGUUUGUGUUUUCAGGGGUUGGGGUCAGAGACGGUGGGACGGGAGCGUCCCAAAUCAAGUCCAAUUCACAGGACGGAGAUCUCGCUUUAAGAACAUGAAGGGCAAGUCUGCAAAGAAGGGUAAAGACUGGAUCCUGGAGGGGAGGAGAAGACAGGGCAGGGAGGUCCGAGCUGACAGAACGUACACUGCCCGUCAGAGAAGGCCUCACUCCUGAACCCCAGUCAGUCCUGUAUGUUCCGGCCUGGAGGUUCACCCUUAUGGAAUACUACUGUCCUGUGGACAGAAUCUGGACACAGACGGGCCCCUCUCGAGGACAUGGUCCCAAUCCUCUGGACAGAAACUGGCCCCUCUCUAGGA
Oncorhynchus masou masou (cherry salmon) is the source of this 1180-nucleotide RNA transcript. RefSeq lists it as uncharacterized. The transcript has 6 exons. The record is from RefSeq and is a predicted model, not a curated record. Lineage: Eukaryota; Metazoa; Chordata; Actinopteri; Salmoniformes; Salmonidae.